AGAAUGAACGCUGGCGGCGUGCUUUACACAUGCAAGUUGAGCGAGGCCACCCGCAAGGGUGAGUCGAGCGGCGAACGGGUGAGUAACGCGUGGAUGACCUGCCCUUUAGUGGGGGAAUAACCCGGGGAAACUCGGGCUAAUACCGCAUAAGACCGAGAGGUGAAAGCGGGGUCGCAAGAUCUCGUGCUAAAGGAGGGGUCCGCGUUCGAUUAGCUAGUUGGUAGGGUAAUGGCCUACCAAGGCGACGAUCGAUAGCCGGCCUGAGAGGGUGAUCGGCCACACUGGAACUGAGACACGGUCCAGACUCCUACGGGAGGCAGCAGUGGGAAUUUGCGCAAUGGGCUAACGCCUGACGCAGCAACGCCGCGUGGAGGAUGGAAGGUCUUUGGAUUGUAACUCCUGUCAGCAAGGGAAAAAGGAGUGGACCUAAUACGUCCGCAACUUGAUUGUACCUGCAGAGGAACGCCCCGGCUAACUCUGUCGCCGAGCACGCCGACGGUAAUCGUGAGGCGGCGUA
Molecule: ribosomal RNA, 517 nt
Filed under: uncultured soil bacterium
Lineage: Bacteria
Description: bacterial SSU rRNA
Rfam family: Bacterial small subunit ribosomal RNA
Source: RNAcentral